CCCUUAGACGUUCUGGGCCGCACGCGCGCUACACUGACCAGUGCAACAAGCAUCCGUCCUUGGCCGACAGGCCCGGGCAAUCUUUGAACGCUGGUCGUGAUGGGGAUAGACUUUUGCAAUUUUUGGUCUUCAACGAGGAAUUCCUAGUAAACGCAAGUCAUCAACUUGCAUUGAUUACGUCCCUGCCCUUUGUACACACCGCCCGUCGCACCUACCGAUUGAAUGGUCCGGUGAAGCCUCCGGAUUGGCUCGCACCUCGGUGCCGCCGAGAAGUUGGCUAAACCUUACCAUUUAGAGGAAGGUGAAGUCGUAACA
This 315-nucleotide ribosomal RNA is filed under the name uncultured eukaryote. Its description in RNAcentral is "partial 18S ribosomal RNA". It matches the Rfam family "Eukaryotic small subunit ribosomal RNA", at positions 1470 to 1796 of the family's 1831-position model. The record is from RNAcentral.